Molecule: ribosomal RNA, 484 nt
Filed under: uncultured bacterium
Lineage: Bacteria
Description: partial 16S ribosomal RNA
Rfam family: Bacterial small subunit ribosomal RNA
Source: RNAcentral
AUUGAACGCUGGCGGCAGGCCUAACACAUGCAAGUCGAGCGGAUGAAGGGAGCUUGCUCCUGGAUUCAGCGGCGGACGGGUGAGUAAUGCCUAGGAAUCUGCCUGGUAGUGGGGGAUAACGUCCGGAAACGGGCGCUAAUACCGCAUACGUCCUGAGGGAGAAAGUGGGGGCUCUUCGGACCUCACGCUAUCAGAUGAGCCUAGGUCGGAUUAGCUAGUUGGUGGGGUAAAGGCCUACCAAGGCGACGAUCCGUAACUGGUCUGAGAGGAUGAUCAGUCACACUGGAACUGAGACACGGUCCAGACUCCUACGGGAGGCAGCAGUGGGGAAUAUUGGACAAUGGGCGAAAGCCUGAUCCAGCCAUGCCGCAUGUGUGAAGAAGGUCUUCGGAUUGUAAAGCACUUUAAGUUGGGAGGAAGGGCAGUAAGUUAAUACCUUGCUGUUUUGACGUUACCAACAGAAUAAGCACCGGCUAACUUCGUG